This is a long non-coding RNA of Sorex araneus (European shrew), 1432 nucleotides long. RefSeq lists it as uncharacterized. The transcript has 3 exons. NCBI's taxonomy places the organism in Eukaryota, Metazoa, Chordata, Mammalia, Eulipotyphla, Soricidae. The record is from RefSeq and is a predicted model, not a curated record.
AAAAUGGUAGUUUUACCCAUGUACAUCUCUAAAAAUCACACAGCAGAGACCAGGAGGAAAUAUUUCAGGUCUCUGAAUGUUUGGCAGGUAGUAAAUUUCCUCAGCUCAUUGUGUGUUUCUGGCAGGAAACUGUCAACUCUUUCGGAAGCUGCCUUUGUUUGGGCCCACCAUCAAAGACUGGGAUAUCCAGCUCCCUCCCGCACACCCCUCCCCUCCUGGGGAACAGCUAAGCCUUUCCCGCCUCCCAACCCCUGUCCUUUCAAAAUGAGUGGUAACGACAACAAUAAAAGCCCAGACUCCUUAAAUCUCAGGGGAGAGCGGAGAUGUGAAAGAAGGUCUGCUUUAUGUACACCUCCAAUAAAAAAGAUUUAUAGGCAGUCACUGAAUGCCUUCUCUGAGCAGGCUGUGAGUUGGGCGAUGGAGGUGUGGAAUGGAAAGACCAGACCUUCCCCAGGGAGUCCCAAACAUGGGGUGGAGAAGCCAUAGCAUAAGGGGGCGAUGAAGAGUGCCCUUUGAUGCAAAGCGCGUCCUACAUAGCUCUUUGAGGUGAACGCAUUCGUCGAAGGUGCCUGCUGUGAUGCCUAAUAGCACGACUGAAUCACAAUUUUAAGCGCCUGUAGUUCAUGGGGGGCAAAGCAAGAGGACCUCCAGGUCCUCCCGAGCACCUCAUCAAAGAUCUCCCAAGACCCCGUUUAGGCGCGCAAGCUCAGAAUCUGUGACUCUGGGGGAGACUUGGUGAAUCAUGUCCGUCCCUGGGAACGGAUCCAAAUGGAAUUAAUGCUACGCCCGGGUCUCGGCUACACACGCGCGCUGGGGUGCCCUCGUCUUCCUAAAAGGCCUUCUGGAGCGAUCUGGUUAGACAGCCAUUUAGACACGUCUGUCUGGGAGGUGGUUUGACCUAUGGUGAGACUGUCAAACGCAACAAAAACAUUCUGACAUUUUAAGAGCUUUAAUUUACUCGCGCUAAAAGCCGCAGCAUCUGAAUAUGUCAAGUUUACGAGGCAGAGACUUUCCAGCCGGAAUUUGUACCUCCCCUAAUGCGAGGGCAUGUCAGGGAGUUGAUUGACUUGUCCAAGGAGUGCACCGGGAACGGACCGGGAAGAAACGGAGGAAGCCGCUGCAAAACUCCUCCAGCGGGCAACUUGCUUUGCGCGUGCGUCUGUCACUCUCAGGUUGGGUUACAUGGGGAAUUAAACAAUUGCCAAGGUGAUCCGAAUGGAUGCAUUUCAGAGGGCCCCGCGGGGCAGCACCCAAGGGGCUGCCGUCACUCAGGCGGUGGAGGGGAGGAAGUCCGGGCUUCGGAGCCAAGUGGGCUGGGGUGCGUUGCUUUGCUCUGCUGUGCUGUGGGCCAGCCGGAGCGAGAGACCAGGGACGGUUCAUCCUGGGCUUGGCUUUCUACUCUCACAUGCCACACAGGAACCACACAGCCCCG